AUGAUUAUGUGUGUCUCUCUAAAAGGGUGGACUGGGGCUGUUUAAAUCCAUUCUGAUCCUACUGGCAAAGCUCAAACCAAGAUCAGCAGCUCUGGAAAUAUUUGGGGAAAGUUUUGUUUGUUUGUUUUUAAAUUUACUUUCUGAUUUUUCAUUCUUUAAAAGAGCAAAAAACCCUCUCUAUCUGGUCUGGUCUCUAUCACUUGGUUCCCUACAGGAGUGGAGGCACCAGAGCUGCAGGGGAGAGGCUGCCUGGAAAGUCAAAACAGGGCAGAAAGCAUCAGCUGUUCCAGGAAAUAACCUGUCUUUGCACAUUUCCUCAUGUUCAGGCUUCACUAUUAUGAAUGCAAGCACUGUGAUGAGAGAAGAGGAAAAUAAAACCAUCCUCCAUUUUGCUGAGUGCCAGCAGUGUGAACAAAAAUAUAAGGUGCUUCAGGGCAGGAAGAAACUGUGAAGAAAUAGGUUUUUGAAUUCCAUUUGUCUCGGAUUGUCUGAAAAUUGUCUCAAGAGCUGCCUUCUGGAGACAGCUGCCCUGCUCUGAGAGAGGGCAGAGACGUGUGUGGGGGUCUCAGACUGGGACAGGACUCAGGGUGCAGCUGCCUCUG
RNAcentral lists this long non-coding RNA (602 nucleotides) under Zonotrichia albicollis (white-throated sparrow). RNAcentral describes it as "lncRNA (ENSZALG00000016850.1)". The record is from RNAcentral. Lineage: Eukaryota; Metazoa; Chordata; Aves; Passeriformes; Passerellidae.